RNAcentral lists this ribosomal RNA (598 nucleotides) under Hepatozoon canis. Its description in RNAcentral is "SSU rRNA". It matches the Rfam family "Eukaryotic small subunit ribosomal RNA", at positions 477 to 1075 of the family's 1831-position model. Lineage: Eukaryota; Apicomplexa; Hepatozoidae. The record is from RNAcentral.
AACAAUACAAGGCAGUUAAAAUGCUUUGUAAUUGGAAUGAUAGAAAUUUAAACCCUUUUUAAAGUAUCAAUUGGAGGGCAAGUCUGGUGCCAGCAGCCGCGGUAAUUCCAGCUCCAAUAGCGUAUAUUAAAAUUGUUGCAGUUAAAAAGCUCGUAGUUGAAGUUCUGCUGAAAGUAACCGGUCUGCUUUUAAUAAAAGUGGUAUCUUGGUAUGUAUUUAGCAAUGAUGUCCUUUGAAGUGUUUUUUACUUUAUUGUAAUAAAGCAUAUUCAGGACUUUUACUUUGAGAAAAUUAGAGUGUUUCUAGCAGGCUAACGCUUUGAAUACUGCAGCAUGGAAUAAUAAGAUAGGAUUUUAGUUCUACAUUAUUGGUUUUAAGAGCUAAAUUAAUGAUUGAUAGGGACAGUUGGGGGCAUUUGUAUUUAACUGUCAGAGGUGAAAUUCUUAGAUUUGUUAAAGACAAACUACUGCGAAAGCAUUUGCCAAAGAUGUUUUCAUUAAUCAAGAACGAAAGUUAGGGGAUCGAAGACGAUCAGAUACCGUCGUAGUUCUUAACUAUAAACUAUGCCGACUAGAGAUUGGAGGUCGUCUUUAUAAAC